GCUGGGUGCGGUGGUGCAUGCCUGUAGUCCAAGCUACUCAGAGGCUGAGGUGGGAGGAUCACUUGAGCCCAGGAGGUCCGGGCUGUAGUGCGCUGUGUUGAUUGGGUGUCCACACUAAGUUUGGCAUCAAUAUGGUGACCUCCCGGGAGCUGGGAACCACCAGGUUGCCUAAGGAGGGAUGAGCCACCCCAGGUCAGAAACGGAGCUGGUCAAAAUUCCCAUGCUAGGCCGGGCGUGGUGGCUCACGCCUGUAAUCCCAGCACUUUGGGAAGCCGAGGCGGGUGGAUCAUGAGGUCAAGAGAUCGAGACCAUCCUGGUCAACAUGGUGAAACCCCGUCUCU
Molecule: signal recognition particle RNA, 341 nt
Filed under: Cebus imitator (Panamanian white-faced capuchin)
Lineage: Eukaryota; Metazoa; Chordata; Mammalia; Primates; Cebidae
Description: Metazoan signal recognition particle RNA (ENSCCAG00000005247.1)
Rfam family: Metazoan signal recognition particle RNA
About the family: The signal recognition particle (SRP) is a universally conserved ribonucleoprotein. It is involved in the co-translational targeting of proteins to membranes.
Source: RNAcentral